Molecule: long non-coding RNA, 863 nt
Filed under: Marmota monax (woodchuck)
Lineage: Eukaryota; Metazoa; Chordata; Mammalia; Rodentia; Sciuridae
Source: RNAcentral
GCUGAAUCUUGGUGAUUACUUCUGUUUGGGUCAGGGGAUUACUGGUCAGCCACAACAAGGUGAGUAAGCCCUGAUUUGGGGGAAUAUGGAGGUAGGUGGGUAAUUAGAUGACAACAAGGAUACAAAGGUUUUACUAGUGUACUUAUGACUACCUUCCCUUUCUUUUGCAUGUGCACAUAUGGUCUUCCCUCAUGUCGUUUAUUCUUGUUUGGGGGUUUGUUAUCCUCUUUCAAAUACUGCAGUUUUUAUUUGGGAAAUUUUCAAACAUAAACAAAAGAGAAUGUUAUAAGAAAGAUACCCCCUGUUCAAUAUUCUCAUCUGACGUAACAAAAAUGAACAUUUUGCUAUUUUGGUUUUGUCUGUUUAUCUAGUCCCCAUUUUUUGUUAUCACUGAAUUUUAUUUAUUUAUUGCAUUACUGAGCUAUAUCCCCAACCUUUUAUAUUUAUUUAUUUUUUUGCAUUUGAGACAGGGUUUUACUGAAUGGCCCAGGCUAGUCUUGGAUUUGUGAUUCUGGUAUUAUGGGGUGCACUACUGAACCAGGUUUUACUAAAAUAUUUGUUUAGUUUUGGGUACUAGGGAUUGAACUCGGGAGUGCUCAACCACUGAGCCACAUAUCCAGCUCUAUUUAUUUAUUUUUUUAAUAUUUAUUUUUUAGUUGUAGAUGGGCAUAAUAUCUUUAUUUCAUUUUUAUGUGGUGCUGAGGUUUGAACCCAGUGCCUCACAUGUGCUAGGCAAGCACUCUACCACUGAACCACAACCCUAGCUCCUUGUUUUUUAUUUUGAGACAGGGUCUCACUAAGUUGCUUAGGGCUUUCUAAGUUCCUGAGACUGGCUUUGAAUUUGCAAUCCUCCUGCCUCAGCC